CCUACGGGAGGCAGCAGUGAGGAAUAUUGGUCAAUGGGCGCGAGCCUGAACCAGCCAAGUCGCGUGAGGGAUGAAGGAUCUAUGGUUCGUAAACCUCUUUUAUUAGGGAAUAAAGUGCGGGACGCGUCCCGCUUCGCAUGUACCUUAUGAAUAAGGAUCGGCAAACUCGGUGCCAGCAGCCGCGGUAAUACGGGGGAUCCGAGUGUUAUGCGGAUUUAUUGGGGUUAAAGGGUGCGUAGGCGUCGUUUUAAGUCCGAGGUAAAAUCGGGGGGCUAACCCACGAACUGCCGUUGAAACUGGGUCGCUUGAGUGUGUGAAGGGCAGGCGGAAUGCGUGGUGUAGCGGUGAAAUGCAUAGAUAUCACGCAGAACCCCGAUUGCGAAGGCAGCCUACCGGGGCGUAACUGACGCUGAUGCACGAAAGCGUGGGGAUCGAACAGGAUUAGAUACCCUAGUAGUC
RNAcentral lists this ribosomal RNA (459 nucleotides) under uncultured bacterium. RNAcentral describes it as "partial 16S ribosomal RNA". It matches the Rfam family "Bacterial small subunit ribosomal RNA", at positions 338 to 795 of the family's 1533-position model. The record is from RNAcentral.